AAUUUUGCGCAAUGGGGGAAACCCUGACGCAGCAACGCCGCGUGUGUGAUGAAGCUUUUCGGAGUGUAAAACACUGUCAGUGGGGACGAAACUUGACGGUACCCACAGAGGAAGCACCGGCUAACUCCGUGCCAGCAGCCGCGGUAAUACGGAGGGUGCAAGCGUUGUCCGGAAUCAUUGGGCGUAAAGCGUUCGUAGGCGGCACAUUAAGUCUGGCGUUAAAGCCCGAGGCUCAACCUCGGUUCGGCGCUGGAUACUGGUGAGCUAGAAUGGAGCAGAGGUAAGGGGAAUUCCUGGUGUAGCGGUGAAAUGCGUAGAUAUCAGGAGGAACAUCGGCGGCGAAAGCGCCUUGCUGGACUCUAAUUGACGCUGAGGAACGAAAGCCGGGGGAGCAAAUGGG
This 400-nucleotide ribosomal RNA is filed under the name uncultured bacterium. RNAcentral describes it as "bacterial SSU rRNA". It matches the Rfam family "Bacterial small subunit ribosomal RNA", at positions 360 to 776 of the family's 1533-position model. The record is from RNAcentral.